This 21-nucleotide non-coding RNA is filed under the name Caenorhabditis elegans. Lineage: Eukaryota; Metazoa; Nematoda; Chromadorea; Rhabditida; Rhabditidae. The record is from RNAcentral.
UUCCCAACACCGUCCCCCUUU